UCAACUUGUCAGUGUUUUUUUCUUCAUAUACUUUUUAUUUUAAAAUACUUUCGGACUGACAGAAAAAUUGCAAAGAUAGCACAGGGGCUUCCCACAUAUCCCACAUUCUAAUUUCCCCACUGUUAAUGUCUUACAUUAUUAUGGUACACUUGUCACAAUUAAUGGUUUGGUGUGUUUAAAUAUGGUAUUAUUUCAGGCACUGGGAUACCUUGAGGUGAGUGCAGACACUCACAGCAACCUGAAGGCCCUGCCUCUUAUGACUAAGGGCACACGCAUAGCUCACCAGCAGCUGGCUACUCCUUCCUGAGAGCUGCCAGACUGACGAGCUGUGCCCCCACCAGGCACAAGAGCUGGGGAAGUCGAAUUAGGUUCCCAGACCUAUACAUUUGGGGAUUUAUACCUAAGGAAGGAGAAGCUCUGCAUGAAGAAUGAGACUGAAUUGUUUGGAUUCGAAGACGGAGGCUCCACUCGCCAGUUGUGGGGGCAGGACAGCUCUGAAAGUCUUCACUGAGAAGAAAACCACCAUCCACUUUAAUUGUUAGUUAAUAUGUAACUGUGUCACAUUUAAAUACUAUCCCCACCUGCAUUCACUACAAUCCCUCUGAGGACUGGGACUGCAAUUUAGAACCCUUCUACACACAUAGUCAGUGUCUAAUAAUGGCAUUUUGAAUGAGUUGUGACUGGCUGAAUUCUUAUAACAGCUAACAAAGCUGGCAGUUAGUGUUGCUACGUUUAAGACUUCUUCAAGUUUCUUCAAGCUUGAACAUUUAAUUACCAUGGGGGGCAUACAUUAGCUUUUCUUGGCUCUUUGGGGACAGUGACUGAAAGACUGAAUACUAAAGGGUAUUCAGAAUAUUCUCUUUAUUACAUGGGCUAAGUCCUGUGCACUUCUAGAUUCAAUAUUGUCCUCCCUAAGGAAGCUCCCUCACGACCCCAUCCGCUUGCUACCAGGCCCUCCAGAACGAAGAGUCCUGACCCUGUGACCACAAGUUUCCCAUGUUUAUGUUGCCAAAAUAGGUAAACUGUGAAUUCUCACAUUUUUCACCAAUGUGAUGGGAAGCAGCAGGGCCUUGGUCCUAGGAAAUGAUGAAAAACCAACCCAAAUGUAUACAGAGCAAACACCACUGUUUGCCAUGCUGUCUUGUUUGUUUCAGGGAAUGUGGAUUUAUUAAUAAUAAUGUUUCACAAUGUGGCAGUCACAUCUGCACCACAAAAUAUCAGUCAUAGAAAGUAAUGCAGGAAAAACCCCAUUAAAUCACCUAGUCCUGCAUCUGCCAAGGCCACAGGCUAUGUUUCUGCCUUUUGAGUUUUAAUAGCAUUUCAAAAUAAAAGAUGAAAUGUUAGGUGCACUCCCUCACCUGUGAUUCAUAAUUAGUAUUAAUGAUGGGGCUCAUGACGAGAAAAUGUAAAACAAAACAUACAAAAAGUUCCAUCUCCUCAAAGUUUCAGUUUAUAACCCUGAGUAGGCCAUUCCCUCAAUUUUACAAAGAAAGGAAAAUUGACUAGUAGACUUCAAUUACCAGAAGCACAUGGCAUCUUCUAUGGAGACUCAUGGGCCAAGGAAAAGAAAAAUCAUGUUUAUUUAUUUAGCACUUAUUUAUUUAACCUUCUGGCUGGGUUUGGUUGUUGGAUCUGGUUUUACAUCCUGAAUUACGAAGUUUAUGAUGGGAAAGUGUGUCAGCUGUUUGCUGAAGGAAAGGAAGUCCUCUAUUCUUUGUCUUCUCUUGUUCAUAGAAUCAAGCAUCCUAAAUGACUGUUUAGAGAAGUUAAAAUAUGGUACAGUUAGGAGCAUUACCCUAGCUCGGCUUCAUUGUCAACAUCUUCAGUUCUUUCCUCCUGACAGUGCCUUGGGUAAGCUCCUGUUACUUCCUGCCUGCAGCAUUGUACAGCUCUUUUCUUGGUUCCUCUCACUCCUAAUCCAUCUGGGCAACUGCUGCUCGAGUCAGGAUCAGCUAAGAUAUAUAUACCAUGGAAUACUACUCAGCCAUAAAAAUAAUGAAAUGAUAUAUUUCACAGCAACAUGAGUGGAACUGGAGGCCGCUAGCCUCAGUGAAUUAACUCAGAAACAGAAAAUCAAAUACUGUAUGUUUUCACUUAUAAGUGGGAGUUAAACAAUGGACACAUGGACAUAUAGAGUGAAAUAAUGGCUGUUGGAGACUACAAAAGGUGGAAGGGUAAGGGGGUGUGAGAGUUGAAAAUUUCCUAUUGGGUACAAUGUUUACUAUUUGGGUGAUGGAUACAAUAAAGGCCCACAGACUUCAUCACUAUGCAAUAUAUUCAUGUAAGAAACCUGCACUUGUACCCCCUAAAUAUAUUUUUAAAAAUCAAAAGUUAAAAACAAAUAAAUAAAUAAUGCUGCU
Symphalangus syndactylus (siamang) is the source of this 2360-nucleotide long non-coding RNA. RefSeq lists it as uncharacterized. The record is from RefSeq and is a predicted model, not a curated record. Lineage: Eukaryota; Metazoa; Chordata; Mammalia; Primates; Hylobatidae.